GCUUGUCUCAAAGAUUAAGCCAUGCAUGUCUAAGUAUAAACUGCUUAUACUGUGAAACUGCGAAUGGCUCAUUAAAUCAGUUAUAGUUUAUUUGAUGGUACCUUACUACUCGGAUAACCGUAGUAAUUCUAGAGCUAAUACGUGCGUAAAUCCCGACUUCUGGAAGGGACGUAUUUAUUAGAUAAAAGGCCGACCGGACUUUGUCCGACCCGCGGUGAAUCAUGAUAACUUCACGAAUCGCAUGGCCUUGUGCCGGCGAUGUUUCAUUCAAAUUUCUGCCCUAUCAGCUUUCGAUGGUAGGGUAUUGGCCUACCAUGGCGUUAACGGGUAACGGAGAAUUAGGGUUCGAUUCCGGAGAGGGAGCCUGAGAAAUGGCUACCACAUCCAAGGAAGGCAGCAGG
Molecule: ribosomal RNA, 401 nt
Filed under: uncultured Bracteacoccus
Lineage: Eukaryota; Viridiplantae; Chlorophyta; Chlorophyceae; Sphaeropleales
Description: partial small subunit ribosomal RNA
Rfam family: Eukaryotic small subunit ribosomal RNA
Source: RNAcentral